Molecule: ribosomal RNA, 301 nt
Filed under: uncultured bacterium
Lineage: Bacteria
Description: partial 16S ribosomal RNA
Rfam family: Bacterial small subunit ribosomal RNA
Source: RNAcentral
CAGUCGCCACGGUAAUACGAAGGGGGCUAGCGUUGUUCGGAAUCACUGGGCGUAAAGGGUGCGUAGGCGGGCAUUUGAGUCAGGGGUGAAAUCCCGAGGCUCAACCUCGGAACUGCCCUUGAUACUGGGUGUCUUGAGUCCGGAAGAGGUGAGUGGAACUGCGAGUGUAGAGGUGAAAUUCGUAGAUAUUCGCAAGAACACCGGUGGCGAAGGCGGCUCACUGGUCCGGAACUGACGCUGAGGCACGACAGCGUGGGGAGCAAACAGGAUUAGAUACCCGCGUAGUCCCUGUCUCUUAUAC